ACUAGGGAUCGGACGAUGUUAUUUUUUGACUCGUUCGGCACCUUACGAGAAAUCAAAGUGCUUGGGCUCCAGGGGGAGUAUGGUCGCAAGGCUGAAACUUAAAGAAAUUGACGGAAGGGCACCACCAGGGGUGGAGCCUGCGGCUUAAUUUGACUCAACACGGGGAAAUCACCAGGUCCAGACACAAUGAGGAUUGACAGAUUGAGAGCUCUUUCUUGAUUUGUGG
This 226-nucleotide ribosomal RNA is filed under the name uncultured fungus. RNAcentral describes it as "partial 18S ribosomal RNA". It matches the Rfam family "Eukaryotic small subunit ribosomal RNA", at positions 1045 to 1273 of the family's 1831-position model. Lineage: Eukaryota; Fungi. The record is from RNAcentral.